This 331-nucleotide unclassified non-coding RNA is filed under the name fungal sp. RNAcentral's name for it is "partial internal transcribed spacer region". The stretch from base 1 to 46 matches the Rfam family "Eukaryotic small subunit ribosomal RNA", at positions 1786 to 1831 of the family's 1831-position model. Lineage: Eukaryota; Fungi. The record is from RNAcentral.
AAGUCGUAACAAGGUUUCCGUAGGUGAACCUGCGGAAGGAUCAUUAACACGUACCCAACGUAUCAACCCCUUUAUACGAACCAUUAACCCGCCCUUUGCCUACGUUUGAGUCAAAAACUUGUUUUUGGCGAAGCAGCUUGUAAUUGGGAACGAUUACAUUGCUGGCGCUCUGUCUUGCAAAAGACAUCCGCGUAGAACUGUGUGCCUUUUUUUUCAACCCAUUCUCUGGUUUGACGAAAUUAACACUUCUUGUAUUUUUUUGCGCAAGCAAAAGGGCAGGAUUUUAUUUAUUGAACUUAAACAACUUUUAGCAACGGAUGUCUUGGUUCUC